UUUUUUGUAAAUCAGUGUUAGAAUGUUCGCCUGCCACGUGGGCUACCCGGGUUCGAUCCCCGGCAACGGAU
Non-coding RNA from Parelaphostrongylus tenuis, 71 nucleotides. Lineage: Eukaryota; Metazoa; Nematoda; Chromadorea; Rhabditida; Metastrongylidae. The record is from the annotation of a GenBank genome assembly.